CCUUUUAGUGCCCAAAUACAUUUGGUCCAGUUACAGUUUUGGCCUUUUUUCAUUUUUGAAUUCAGCAACUUUUUGUUCCAAAACUUGGUUUCAUUUCUAUUUGUUGGGCCUUUUCAACCCAAUUAUUUCUCCAACAUUAAAUCCAACACUAUUUCAUAUUUAAAUCAAGAAAACUCCAAAUCGAAUUAAAAUCAUCCAUCAUAUAACAUCACAUAAUACAUUGCCCAGAUUAACAUAACACAAUAAAACAUCUCUUGAAGACAUUUCCUUACACAUGAAUAUAGCAAGGACGAACAUAAUUUCACAAUAGAACAAUGGCACAUCUGCUACUUCCCUACAGUACAAUGGACUUCAUUCCACUCUUCUAUGAGACAUGCUCGAGAUGAAGUUGUCAACCUACAAGAACAUUACACUGUACAUGAAUCAAUCAAAAGAAAAGAAAUAUAAAAAAAUAUUAGAAAUAAAAAGAUUUGUGUUCAGCCUGAAGACUAUGUUAAAAAUCCCGUGAUAUAAAUUCUGGAGUAUAAUUAGUCCAACCUAAACUAGUCACUGAGUCUGAAAAUUAAACUUCAAACUAGAUUGUUCCAGGAAAAUAUGGACAAAGAAAAUGGAGACAAGAAAAUUCAAUAUCUUUUUGGUAUUUUCGCUUUACUGGAGGAAUUUAAGCACUGACACAAGAAAGAGUCAAUGACACAAUAAUUAGCAGACAUGUAAGAUAAUACAAAACAAGCUACUCCACAUUACUGUGAUAACCAAGUGCAAACCAGGGUGUAAGAACAUUACCGUGAGAUUUGAUCUUAGAGAAAUACAUUUUAACAAGAAGAUUACCGUGAGCCUUGAUCUUAGAAAAUUACACUUUUAAUAAGAAUUCUAAGUUAACAACAAUAUUAUCCAAGUGUGCAGCAAAGUGUAAGAACAGUACCGUGAGAUACAAAAUUUAAAGUUGAGCAGAACUAAAAAUACAAAGAAACUAUAUGAUAUAAUCACAAUUAUAAAGAAACUAUAGUACAACAACAGUUCACUAGCGUGUGAAUUUUUUAACACAUUCCACAAAUCUAUAGAAGUCACACAUGCCACAACAAAAUCGAGAACACGGACCAUACAGACCUCGUGAUAUACCAUCAAACUUCUUAGGUCCAAACUCUGUGUGAUAUACCAUCCUCGCCGCCGGCCAGACAAACUGCUCGCUCAGGGCAGAAAAUAGAGCGACGUUUCAGCACGAACAGAGGAACACAUAGGUUUCACGCUACCAAUGUCAAAUAAAAAAUGUUUUAUUUUUGUCCUUUUCCAACUGAGUAAUGGCCACACAUGCACAACACCCUUAUUACAUGGUCAGGGCCAACUCGACUCUAUUAGCUUUUGGUUACAAAGCAAAUUGUGUAACACUUACUAGAAUAUACACCAACACCAUUAGGUUUCCUCAAUUAUUCUACUCAUUCUAAUCACUGAAAAAAUCAUGAAUUUGUACAACACUUACUAGAAUAUGGGAUCUAUCAUCUGCAAAAGAGAGAGAUGCAUGUUGCGGGGAGGAGAAGAAAGACCUUCUCGCUCUCGAGGUGAGGGGGAGGUGCAGCUAAUGUGGGGCUGGAGGUCCAUGGUGUAUUGGACCAUGGAGCCGGACAGCCGUUGGUCCGUCUUCUCCACCUCGUCAGGUCUGCAAAAUCAUCAACUGGUUUCUAUAUUUUUGACAUUUUGUAAAAUGCAAAACUAAGUCUAUUGAGUUUAGAUGUUGACGGAUGAUUUUCGAAAGAAAUACUUGGUAGUAAGCACUCCAAAAUUUCUCUUAAGCAUACACUACUUGGACCUUAUUAUACGGUCUAGAUUCAGUCAAAUAAUUAAAUCAUCAUAUGCUUGUUUGUUCCAAGGCCAGAAAACAUAUGCUGAUAUGCACAAGAAAGCACACGAAAACAGACACCAACUCUUGUCUACAGUUUCAUAAACAAAUCAGAAAAGAUAAAUCAGAUCUGGUCCAUCAUUUUUGUUUCAAGAGUUAUGUGUUGGUUUUAUAAUUUUUCCUAGAACACGUGUAAUGCUGAAUUAAGGACUUACUACACUAGUACACCAAAGCCAUAUGAACUUCAGUAUAGUGAACUCAAAUGUAUGUCUGUAGUCAAGCAUAGCAGGCUGUAAACACUAUUUUUUCACAUUUUCAUGUAGUGUUGCCAUAAACUUAAGCAGGUAUGGCAAGUAAAGAUGCACCUGCUCACAUAAUGGUGUAUUGAAUACUCUUUGUUUCCCAAAUCGUUCAUCUAGCCUUCUUGUGCAGCGAAAGACGCCGCCAAAACCCACAUCCUCUCCAAAGACAUAAGAGCUGUCAAAAUGGAACUCAUCUUCAGUUCACUGGAUUGUGUGUAUAACUAAGUCAAAUGGAUCGGUGAGCUGGGAAUGUUCAUAUAAGCAUAUAUAAGUCAUUUCUUUCUCAUACACUAGCUAGCUUACAAAACGAUAAGCAUAUAUAACUGAACACAUAUAUUUAUUUUUUUCUCUAAUUUUAAGAGUGUGUAUUCUACUCGGAACACUAGCAUAUUGACAUGGUGUACAACGGAAAUUAGCGUCGAUAGCCGGACAUAUUAUUUACAGCGAAAAGAAAUGUCAAACAUAUGGAGUGUUGUUCAUGCAAGUAGAUAACGUCAAUGGCUGCAUCGGAAGUCGAUUAUAUCCAGGAUGGGGAAUUUCAGAAUCAGCAUCGGAACCAGCCUGACUGAACUAGUCGUGGAACAUCUAAAGGCUUGUUUGGUAGGUUCAGAAUGUGUACCAGACUUACUAGGUAUAUCAAUUCCUCCCUGAAAAGAAACACCAUUCCUUGUCCCUUGGAUUCUUUACCAUUUCUUGUCAAACGAGAAAGAGAGAGAGAGAGANNNNNNNNNNNNNNNNNNNNNNNNNNNNNNNNNNNNNNNNNNNNNNNNNNNNNNNNNNNNNNNNNNNNNNNNNNNNNNNNNNNNNNNNNNNNNNNNNNNNNNNNNNNNNNNNNNNNNNNNNGAGAGAGAGAGAGAGAGCCCAUCCUAUGCAACGUACUGAUUAUGCAAAUAUGCAAAUAUGGAUCACAGGGGUAAAACAAGAUUAUGGUUUGCAGCAGCAGUUUUUGUUGGAAGGAACUGAAUUAGAUCACCUAAAUGAGUGAACUGGGCAGAUAACACAGGCAUCUCGCCUUGCAUUCAAGUAUGAAGGUGGGGGACCACGCCACACGGUACUGCAUCCUAGGUUUCUUUUGUGAGGUAUCCUAGAUUUCCAACCAAAAGGAGUUGCAUCUCCCUCGAGUCUGGCGGCUUGGGAUCUCACUACUUCGGCAAUAAUGCAUCCAUGGAGGGAGCUAGCUCGAGAGACGGCAGCUAGAACCCUAACGCCGUCGACUCCUGCUCCUCUCGGCGAUUCUAAUGGGGCGCCCGCGCAUCAGUCGGCCAUUUCAACCCAGACGGGAGCUUGUCCUACUGGAUCUGUGGAGAUUACCGGGAGAGGAGGGGUCUCACCACUCACCAGUCGGUCGGGCUACCGGUUCGGCAGAUGCUCCGCUAAUGACCGUGCGCCCGCCCGGUGCACGGACGCCGUGGACUUGCCUCGCCGGUCGACCGCCCCCCGCCACCGACGCCGCCAC
RNAcentral lists this long non-coding RNA (3592 nucleotides) under Hordeum vulgare. Its description in RNAcentral is "long non-coding RNA (HVUL_LNC019725)". Lineage: Eukaryota; Viridiplantae; Streptophyta; Magnoliopsida; Poales; Poaceae. The record is from RNAcentral.